RNAcentral lists this long non-coding RNA (205 nucleotides) under Brassica napus (rape). RNAcentral describes it as "long non-coding RNA (BNAP_LNC023083)". Lineage: Eukaryota; Viridiplantae; Streptophyta; Magnoliopsida; Brassicales; Brassicaceae. The record is from RNAcentral.
CUGGGGGGACGAUACAUGGUCUUUCAAUGGCUAGGGCCUUCAAAUCUUUAGGACAUGGUUGUUUCCCGGCUUGUCUCAGUAGGUAGGGAAACAUUUCUGAAAUGGAAUGCAGUUAUUUGGUGAUCAUUCUGUCCGUUCUGAGAGAUGUGUUCCUAGGAGACGGGUUGGAUUCUUCAGCAUCCAUAGAAUCCGACACGGACCUAAG